This 6759-nucleotide ribosomal RNA is filed under the name Triticum aestivum (bread wheat). Its description in RNAcentral is "partial small subunit ribosomal RNA". Lineage: Eukaryota; Viridiplantae; Streptophyta; Magnoliopsida; Poales; Poaceae. The record is from RNAcentral.
CCCUCCCUCCCUCGUCCUCACCCGCCGCCGCUCCCUAACCCUAGCCCCAAUCCACAGCCCCGCGCCCCUCGCUCCUCCCUCCCUCGUCCGCGCCCCUCGCUCCUCCCUCCUUCGUCCGCCGCCACUCCCUCCCACCUCCUCCUCCUGCGCCCUAGGAGCCCCGCCGCCGACUGCUACUCCUCCACCGCCUCGCCUCUUCCUCCUCCUCGCCUUCCCAUCGCUCACGCGCAGGUCGCCCGACGGCAGGGAUGGUCAGGAAGGCUUCCCAGCCCGACUGUGCCGUCAUGGGAGCUGCAGGGAGGAGGAGGAGCAGAAGGGGCCACGGAUGAGGAGGAAGGAGACUAGCAGGAGGAGAAGGAGAUAUUCUUGUUCGAUUUGGUUCUCAUGCUGGCAUCUCCCUGCUGUCUGCUUUCCUUUUGGUUUCCAACUUUGAUGCUUGGAUUUGUUGUCUUGGCCAGCAGGAGUGGGAGGAGACAGGGAGGAUGAGGAAGGAGACAAGCAGGAGGAAGAGAAAAUCUUGCUCGCCUUAUGGACUCGCAAUAAACAGGUCCACAGGAAAAAUUCCUGAACGAUUUUGGUAUCCCCGGAUUUUUCUUCCCCGCGAUGAGAGAUCAGCGAGGAUUUGUGCUGCAGGGAGGGGACUGGUGAUAGGAAACAUGGGUCCAAGAAGAAAUCAAAGAGCAUGAUCGUUUCUAGGUCGCUGGUGCUGAAUCAUGUAAGGAUGGCGCAGAACUCACAUGAGGGAAAAGACCGAACUGCGGUAACCAAAUCAACAGCUGAUAAGGCAAUUGGUUGGGCUACAUGAUAGACACUUUAAUAUAUCUUCUUGGAAGCCGCUUAGUGUUCCAAUGAAUAAUUGUCGCUGGUGUGAUGCACGCCUUCAUUGUUUGGUGGGCUGCUUCUUGCCUGGUGUGGUUGAAGAAUUUUCAGAGAUGUAUGUACCAUGAUGAUUGAGGAGGCGUAUGAAAUAAAUCUGAAGAAAUAAGUCGCCUCCAUCAGCGAGGCUGCGAACAACUCUUGGUGCCCCUGUUAACCUCCUCAAUGUUUGCGUUGUUUGCCUGUCGGUCAAAUGCUCACUAUUCAGCAGACAGAUACAGUGUCCAGAUCGUUUAGGAACCAGCGUUACUUCAAAAAAAGAUAGGACCUGAUACACAUUACAUUCAUGGACUACUGAUAUACCUGAUGCAUUUCUUCAUGAUGGAAGCGGAUGCUAUCAAGAUCAUGCCAAAGGCGAUGCUCAUUCCCGUUCUUAGUGAGAUGGGUUUACUCGAUGCAAAGUAUGAGCAUUGCAGACUCUGGCGAGCUGCUGAAGGUCGACGAGGAGGGCGCCGCCGCCACCGUCAUCAGGCUGGUCCACAUACACGCGUUGCUCGGCGUCACCAGGUCACCGGCACAACUCCGCACGCCCAGGCCGUUCAACAUUUUCUUCCGCUUUUGGUGCGUCACAUUUAGAAUCUUUCUUUCCCAUUUUACCGUGUUUGCAUGGUAAGAUGUUCUGUUAGAUUUUAAGGUUCAUAGCCUUGGCUCCAAAGCUUCAAGCUCUUGCAUAAUAGUGUUGUUCAGUGGGAUGCAGAAUUUUUGUUUGUCUGAUCGGCUAUGGCUAUCUUUGGUGCUGAUUUACUACAAUAAAGAUGUUGUGUGUAUAAAUAUUACUAACUGUUGAUACUUUGCAUCAGUGAUUUCAUUUCUGUUGGCCCUCCUUAAGAUUGCUUGGGAAUGUGAGGCUUAAAAGUUUCAACCCUGUGCAAUGUGCUUCUGGGUGUGGAUUUGUGGCUGACUAAUUAACGGUUCUGUUAAUACUAAUAUGUGUUGCAUCGCUUGUACUUAUAGUAAGUAGAAAUUUUUCUCAUAUGUUUCAAUAUGUGCCCGAAUAAUAUUAAUGUACACUCUUUCAAUACAUGGCUUACUCUUGGCCUUUGCGCCAUUGGCGCAACUGGUCAUCUAGUACUAAUGAAAGGGAAGAGACUUCCCAAUAUCCUCCUAUUAUUUCUUAUGAUGAAUCAGGUAACGAGGAGGAGCCUUCUAUUCAACCAAUCUCAUUAAUAAGGAGCUCCAAAAAGAGGAUUGAACCCACACAUGAUGUGGUGAAGAAGAAGAAAAGAAAAAGGAAGAGAGUUUAAAAGAUAUCUCUCCCAAAUAAUGAUGCUCCUAUUACUGUUGCGCCUCAUGAAAAUAUAAUUGUGGAAGAUGAUGCACUUGAUGAUGAUCUCGUUAUGCCUAUUGCUUGUUAUGGUGAUUAUGAUUGGGAAGAUAAUGAUAAUUCUUAUGAUCUUGAAAAUCUUUUUGGCACUUGCUUGGAAGAAUAUGAUAAUUGCUAUACUAUUGGUGCUAUCCAUACUAUUGAUGAUGAGAGUGAUUAUGCUUAUGAUAUGAAAAGGCCCAAGCUUGGGGAUGCUAUGUUUGAAGAAGAUGAUGCUUUUGAGAAUAUAUUUGCUGCAAUUAAUGUUUGUCCCAAGCUUGGGGAUGCUACGUUUAAUGAAGAUGAUAUUUUUAGUCUCCCAAGUUUUGAUAAGCAAAUUCAUAAUGAUGAUAGCAUGCCACCUACACAUUGAUGAAAGUGUAUUUGGAGAGGUCAUGACUUUAUUUAGUAAUGAUUCCACUAUCUUGGAAGAGGUUUCAAUUGAUUAUGAUGAGAACAAAGUUGCUACUUAUGAUAAUUAUUGUGAUGAUACAUAUGCUAUAAAAAGUAGUGAUGAUUAUAUUUAUAAAACUUGUCAUGAUUAUGAUUACCCUUUUUCUGAACAUUACUCUUUUAAUGUGGAAACAAUUUAUAGUAUUCGAGUCUCUUAUGAUACUCCCACUAUUUUGAAGGAAAAGAAUCUUGCUUAUGUGGAGAGUAGUAAAUUUUCUAUGCUUGUAGAUCAUGAAAAGAAUGCUUUAGGUGCUGGUUAUAUUGUUGAAUUCAUUCAUGAUGCUACUGAAAAUUAUUAUGAGGGAGGAAUAUAUGAUUGUAGGAAUUGCAAUAAUAUCAAGUUUCCUCUCUAUGUGCUUAAAGUUUCAAAGUUAUGCUUGUUUUGCCUUCCUAUGCUAGUUGAUUAUUGUUCCCAUAAGUUGUUUGGUAACAAAAUCCCUAUGCAUAGGAAGUGGGUUAGACUUAAAUGUGUUAGUCAUAUUCUUCAUGAUGCUCUCUUUAUGUUUCAAUUCUUAUCCUUUAUGUGAGCAUCAUUGAAAUCAUCAUGCCUAGCUAGGGGCGUUAAACGAUAGCGCUUGUUGGGAGACAACCCAAUUUUAUUUUUGUCCCUUGCUUUUUGAUCCUUUUUAGUAAUAAAUAAUUUAUCUAUACUCUGUUAUGAUUUAGUUUUUAUGUUUUAAUUAGUGUUUGUGCCAAGUAGAACCGUUGGGAAGACUUGGGGAAAUUCUUUUUGAUCUUGCUUUUAAAAAACAGAAACUUUAGCGCUCACGAGAACUGCUGCCAUUUUUAUUUGGAAAGUGAUGGUUAGGUAAUUCUUUUUGAAGAUGAUUAAUAGAUAAAUUCCUCACGUCCAGAAAUUUAUUUGAGAAUUUUAUGAGUUCCAUAAGUAUACGUUCGAUCCAGAUUACUACAGACUGUUCUGUUUUUGACAGAUUCUGUUUUUCCUGUGUUGUUUGCUUAUUUUAAUGAAUCUAUGGCUAGUAAAAGAGUUUAUAACCCAUAGAGAAGUUGGAAUACAGUAGGUUUAACACCAAUAUAAAUAAAUAAUGAGUUCAUUACAGUACCUUUAAGUGGUGUUUUGUUUUCUUUCGCUAACGGAGCUUACGAGUUUUCUGUUAAGUUUUGUGCUGUGAAGUUUUCAAGUUUUGGGUAAAGAUUCAAUGGACUAUGGAAUAAGGAGUGGCAAGAGCCUAAGCUUGGGGAUGCCCAAGGAACAUAAAGGUAAUAUUCAAGGAUAACCAAGAUCCUAAGCUUGGGGAUGCCCCGGAAGGCAAACCCUCUUUCGUCUUCGUCCAUCGGUAACUUUACUUGGAGCUAUAUUUUUAUUUACCACAUGAUAUGUGUUUUGCUUGGAGCGUCAUUUUAUUUUUUUAGUUUUUCUUGAUGUUUGAAUAAAAUACCAAGAUCUGAAAUUAUUAAAUGUUAGAGAGUCUUCACAUAGUUGCAUAAUUAUUCGACUACUCAUUGAUCUUCACUUAUAUCUUUCAGAGUAGUUUAUCAUUUGCUCUAGUGCUUCACUUAUAUCCUUUUAGAGCACGGUGGUGGUUUUAUUUUAUAGAAAUAGAUGAACUAUCAUGCAUCACUUAUAUUAUUUUGAGAGUCCUAAACAACAUGGUAGUUUUCUUUGGUUAUGAAUUUAUUCCUAAUAUGAUGGGCAUCCAAGAGGGAUAUAAUAAAAACUAUCAUAUAAAGUGCAUUGAAUACUAUGACAAGUUUGAUACUUGAUAAUUGUUUUGAGAUAUGGAGAUGGUGAUAUUAGAGUCAUGCUAGUUGAGUAGUUGUGAAUUUUAGAAAUACUUGUGUUGAAGUUUGUGAUUCCCGUAGCAUGCACGUAUGGUGAACCGUUUUGUGACGAAGUCGGAGCAUGAUUUAUUUAUUGAUUGUCUUCCUUAUGAGUGGCGGUCGGGGACGAGCGAUGGUCUUUUCCUACCAAUCUAUCCCCCUAGGAGCAUGCGCGUAGUACUUUGUUUCUAUAACUAAUAGGUUUUUGCAAUAAGUAUGUGAGUUCUUUAUGACUAAUGUUGAGUCCAUGGAUUAUACGCACUCUCACCCUUCCACCAUUGCUAGCCUCUCUAGUACCGCACAACUUUCGCCGGUACCUUAAACCCACCAUAUACCUUCCUCAAAACAGCCACCAUACCUACCUAUUAUGGCAUUUCCAUAUCCAUUCCAAGAUAUAUUGCCAUGCAACUUUCCACCGUUCUGACACGCUUCAUCAUUGUCAUAUUGCUAUGCAUGAUCAUGUAGUUGAUAUCGUAUUUGUGGCAAAGCCACCGUUCAUAAUUCUUUCAUACAUGUAACUCAUGAGUCAUUGCACAUCCCGGUACACCGCCGAAUGCAUUCAUAUAGAGUCAUAUCUUGUUCUAAGUAUUGAGUUGUAAUUCUUGAGUUGUAAGUAAAUAAAAGUGUGAUGAUCAUCAUUAUUAGAGCAUUGUCCCAGUGAGGAAUGGAUGAUGGAGACUAUGAUUCCCCCAUAAGUCGGGAUGAGACUCCGGACAAAAAAAAUAAAUAAAUAAAAGAGGCCAAAGAAGCCCAAAUAAAAAAUAGGCCAUAAAAAAAGAGAAAAGGCCCAAAUAAAAAAUGAGAGAAAAAGAGACAAGGGACAAUGCUACUAUCCUUUUACCACACUUGUGCUUCAAAGUAGCACCAUGAUAUUCAUGGUAGAGAGUCUCCUAUGUUGUCACUUCCAUAUACUAGUGGGAAUCUUUCAUUAUAGAACUUGGCUUGUAUAUUCCAAUGAUGGGCUUCCUCAAAAUGCCCUAGGUCUUCGUGAGCAAGCGAGUUGGAUGCACCCCACUUAGUUUCUUUUUGAGCUGUCAUACACUUAUAGCUCUAGUGCAUCCGUUGCAUGGCAAUCCCUACUCACUCACAUUGAUAUCUAUUCAUGGGCAUCUCCAUAGCCCGUUGAUAUGCCUAGGUGAUGUGAGACUAUCUUCUCCUUUUUGUGUUCUCCAUAACCACCAUUCUAUUCCACCUAUAGUGCUAUGUCCAUGGCUCAAGCUCAUGUAUUGCGUGAAGAUUGAAAAAGUUUGAGAACACCAAAAGUAUGAAACAAUUGCUUGGCUUGUCAUCGGGGUUGUGCAUGAUUUAAAUAUUUUGUGUGGUGAAGAUGGAGCUUAGCCAGACUAUAUGAUUUUGUAUUGAUAACUUUCUUUGGCCAUGUUAUUUUGAGAAGACAUGAUUACUUUGUUAUUAUGCUUGAAGUAUUAUUAUUUUUAUGUCAAUAUUAAACUUUUGUCUUGAAUCUUAUGGAUCUGAAUAUGCUUGCCACAAUAAAGAAAAUUACAUGGAUAAAUAUGUUAGGUAGCAUUCCACAUCAAAAAUUCUGUUUUUUAUCGUUUACCUACUCGAGGAUGAGCAGGAAUUAAGCUUGGGGAUGCUGAUACGUCUCCAACGUAUCUAUAAUUUUUGAUUGUUCCAUGCUAUUAUAUUAUCAACCUUGGAUGUUUUAUAUGCAUUUAUAUGCUAUUUUAUAUGAUUUUUGGGACUAACCUAUUAACCUAGAGCCCAGUGCCAGUUUCUGUUUUUUCCUUGUUUUAGAGUAUCGCAGAAAAGGAAAAUCAAACGGAGUCCAAUUGACCUGAAACUUCUCGGAACUUAUUUUUGGACCAGAAGCAACUGAGAAGACUUGGGGUGUUCGUAAGGGAAGCAACGAGGAAGGCACGAGGCAGGGGGGCGCGCCCACCCCCCUGGGCACGGCCUCCACCCUCGUGGGCCCCUCGUGGCCCCCCUGACGUAUUUCUUCCUCCUAUAUAUAUAUCCAUAUACCCUAAAAACUUCGAGGAGCACAAUAGAUCGGAAGUUCCGCCGCCAGAAGCCUCUGUAGCCACUGAAAGCCAAUCUAGACCCGUUCCGGCACCCUACCGGAGGGGGAAUCCCUCUCCGGUGGCCAUCUUCAUCAUCUCGGUGCUCUCCAUGACAAGGAGGAAGUAGUUAUCCCUCGGGGCUGAGGGUAUGUACCAGUAGCUAUGUGUUUGAUCUCUCUCUCUCUCAUGUUCUUGAGGUGGUACGAUCUUGAUGUAUCGCGAGCUUUGCUAUUAUAGUUGGAUCUUAUGAUGUUUCUCCCCCUAUACUCUCUUGUAAUGGAUUGAGUUUUCCCUUUGAAGUUAUCUUAUCGGAUUGAGUCU